UUAAGCGACUAAGCGUACACGGUGGAUGCCCUGGCAGUCAGAGGCGAUGAAGGACGUGCUAAUCUGCGAAAAGCGUCGGUAAGGUGAUAUGAACCGUUAUAACCGGCGAUGUCCGAAUGGGGAAACCCAGUGCAAUUCGUUGCACUAUCGUUAACUGAAUACAUAGGUUAACGAGGCGAACCGGGGGAACUGAAACAUCUAAGUACCCCGAGGAAAAGAAAUCAACCGAGAUUCCCCCAGUAGCGGCGAGCGAACGGGGAGCAGCCCAGAGUCUGAAUCAGCUUGUGUGUUAGUGGAACGGUCUGGAAAGUCCGACGGUACAGGGUGAUAGUCCCGUACACCAAAAUGCACAGGCUGUGAACUCGAAGAGUAGGGCGGGACACGUGGUAUCCUGUCUGAAUAUGGGGGGACCAUCCUCCAAGGCUAAAUACUCCUGACUGACCGAUAGUGAACCAGUACCGUGAGGGAAAGGCGAAAAGAACCCCGGCGAGGGGAGUGAAAAAGAACCUGAAACCGUGUACGUACAAGCAGUGGGAGCACCUUCGGGUGUGACUGCGUACCUUUUGUAUAAUGGGUCAGCGACUUAUAUUCUGUAGCAAGGUUAACCGUAUAGGGGAGCCGCAGGGAAACCGAGUCUUAACUGGGCGUUAAGUUGCAGGGUAUAGACCCGAAACCCGGUGAUCUAGCCAUGGGCAGGUUGAAGGUUGGGUAACACUAACUGGAGGACCGAACCGACUAAUGUUGAAAAAUUAGCGGAUGACUUGUGGCUGGGGGUGAAAGGCCAAUCAAACCGGGAGAUAGCUGGUUCUCCCCGAAAGCUAUUUAGGUAGCGCCUCGUGAACUCAUCUUCGGGGGUAGAGCACUGUUUCGGCUAGGGGGUCAUCCCGACUUACCAACCCGAUGCAAACUACGAAUACCGAAGAAUGUUAUCACGGGAGACACACGGCGGGUGCUAACGUCCGUCGUGAAGAGGGAAACAACCCAGACCGCCAGCUAAGGUCCCAAAGUCAUGGUUAAGUGGGAAACGAUGUGGGAAGGCACAGACAGCCAGGAUGUUGGCUUAGAAGCAGCCAUCAUUUAAAGAAAGCGUAAUAGCUCACUGGUCGAGUCGGCCUGCGCGGAAGAUGUAACGGGGCUAAACCAUGCACCGAAGCUGCGGCAGCGACACUAUGUGUUGUUGGGUAGGGGAGCGUUCUGUAAGCCUGCGAAGGUGUGCUGUGAGGCAUGCUGGAGGUAUCAGAAGUGCGAAUGCUGACAUAAGUAACGAUAAAGCGGGUGAAAAGCCCGCUCGCCGGAAGACCAAGGGUUCCUGUCCAACGUUAAUCGGGGCAGGGUGAGUCGACCCCUAAGGCGAGGCCGAAAGGCGUAGUCGAUGGGAAACAGGUUAAUAUUCCUGUACUUGGUGUUACUGCGAAGGGGGGACGGAGAAGGCUAUGUUAGCCGGGCGACGGUUGUCCCGGUUUAAGCAUGUAGGCUGGUUAUCCAGGCAAAUCCGGAUAAUCAAGGCUGAGGUGUGAUGACGAGGCACUACGGUGCUGAAGUAACAAAUGCCCUGCUUCCAGGAAAAGCCUCUAAGCAUCAGGUAACAUUAAAUCGUACCCCAAACCGACACAGGUGGUCAGGUAGAGAAUACCAAGGCGCUUGAGAGAACUCGGGUGAAGGAACUAGGCAAAAUGGUGCCGUAACUUCGGGAGAAGGCACGCUGGUGUGUAGGUGAAGUCCCUGCGGAUGGAGCUGAGACCAGUCGAAGAUACCAGCUGGCUGCAACUGUUUAUUAAAAACACAGCACUGUGCAAACACGAAAGUGGACGUAUACGGUGUGACGCCUGCCCGGUGCCGGAAGGUUAAUUGAUGGGGUUAUCCGUAAGGAGAAGCUCUUGAUCGAAGCCCCGGUAAACGGCGGCCGUAACUAUAACGGUCCUAAGGUAGCGAAAUUCCUUGUCGGGUAAGUUCCGACCUGCACGAAUGGCGUAAUGAUGGCCAGGCUGUCUCCACCCGAGACUCAGUGAAAUUGAACUCGCUGUGAAGAUGCAGUGUACCCGCGGCAAGACGGAAAGACCCCGUGAACCUUUACUAUAGCUUGACACUGAACAUUGAGCCUUGAUGUGUAGGAUAGGUGGGAGGCUUUGAAGCGUGGACGCCAGUCUGCGUGGAGCCAACCUUGAAAUACCACCCUUUAAUGUUUGAUGUUCUAACGUUGGCCCCUUACCGGGGUUGCGGACAGUGUCUGGUGGGUAGUUUGACUGGGGCGGUCUCCUCCCAAAGCGUAACGGAGGAGCACGAAGGUUAGCUAAUCCUGGUCGGACAUCAGGAGGUUAGUGCAAUGGCAUAAGCUAGCUUGACUGCGAGCGUGACGGCGCGAGCAGGUGCGAAAGCAGGUCAUAGUGAUCCGGUGGUUCUGAAUGGAAGGGCCAUCGCUCAACGGAUAAAAGGUACUCCGGGGAUAACAGGCUGAUACCGCCCAAGAGUUCAUAUCGACGGCGGUGUUUGGCACCUCGAUGUCGGCUCAUCACAUCCUGGGGCUGAAGUAGGUCCCAAGGGUAUGGCUGUUCGCCAUUUAAAGUGGUACGCGAGCUGGGUUUAGAACGUCGUGAGACAGUUCGGUCCCUAUCUGCCGUGGGCGCUGGAGAAUUGAGGGGGGCUGCUCCUAGUACGAGAGGACCGGAGUGGACGCAUCACUGGUGUUCGGGUUGUCAUGCCAAUGGCACUGCCCGGUAGCUAAAUGCGGAAGAGAUAAGUGCUGAAAGCAUCUAAGCACGAAACUUGCCCCGAGAUGAGUUCUCCCUGAGACUUUAAGUCUCCUGAAGGAACGUUGAAGACGACGACGUUGAUAGGCCGGGUGUGUAAGCGCAGCGAUGCGUUGAGCUAACCGGUACUAAUGAACCGUGAGGCUUAACCUU
Molecule: ribosomal RNA, 2900 nt
Filed under: Klebsiella pneumoniae
Lineage: Bacteria; Pseudomonadati; Pseudomonadota; Gammaproteobacteria; Enterobacterales; Enterobacteriaceae
Description: bacterial LSU rRNA
Rfam family: Bacterial large subunit ribosomal RNA
Source: RNAcentral